UACGUAGGGGGCAAGCGUUGUCCGGAUUUAUUGGGCGUAAAGAGCUCGUAGGCGGUCUGUCGCGUCGGCUGUGAAAACCCGGGGCUCAACCCCGGGCCUGCAGUCGAUACUGGCAGACUAGAGUGCGGUAGGGGAGACUGGAAUUCCUGGUGUAGCGGUGAAAUGCGCAGAUAUCAGGAGGAACACCGGUGGCGAAGGCGGGUCUCUGGGCCGUAACUGACGCUGAGGAGCGAAAGCGUGGGGAGCGAACAGG
RNAcentral lists this ribosomal RNA (253 nucleotides) under uncultured bacterium. RNAcentral's name for it is "partial 16S ribosomal RNA". It matches the Rfam family "Bacterial small subunit ribosomal RNA", at positions 524 to 776 of the family's 1533-position model. The record is from RNAcentral.